Molecule: non-coding RNA, 160 nt
Filed under: Burkholderiales bacterium
Lineage: Bacteria; Pseudomonadati; Pseudomonadota; Betaproteobacteria; Burkholderiales
Description: FMN sequence
Rfam family: FMN riboswitch aptamer (RFN element)
About the family: The RFN element is a highly conserved domain that is found frequently in the 5'-untranslated regions of prokaryotic mRNAs that encode for flavin mononucleotide (FMN) biosynthesis and transport proteins. This element is a metabolite-dependent riboswitch that directly binds FMN in the absence of proteins.
Source: RNAcentral
CGGCGUUCUCAGGGCGGGGUGAAACUCCCCACCGGCGGUAUCCGUGCCUCGGCGCGGGAGCCCGCGAGCGCCCGCUGUGCCCCGCGUGGGUUCGGCGGGGUCAGCAGACCUGGUGCGAAGCCAGGGCCGACGGUCACAGUCCGGAUGAAAGAGAUCGCGU